GCGCCGUGCCCUUCUUGGGCGAUUCCUCCCUGACUCCGGCCGCCCUGCGAGGGGCGGCUUUCUUUUUCGGCGGC
Molecule: small RNA, 74 nt
Filed under: Rhodoblastus acidophilus
Lineage: Bacteria; Pseudomonadati; Pseudomonadota; Alphaproteobacteria; Hyphomicrobiales; Rhodoblastaceae
Description: Makes More Granules Regulator RNA (mmgR)
Rfam family: Makes More Granules Regulator RNA (mmgR)
About the family: SuhB later renamed mmgR (makes more granules regulator) was a putative non-coding RNA found multiple times in the Agrobacterium tumefaciens genome and related alpha-proteobacteria. Other non-coding RNAs uncovered in the same analysis include: speF, ybhL, metA, and serC.
Source: Rfam by way of RNAcentral